GGGCGGUUAGCUCAGUUGGUUAGAGCGUUACAUUGACAUUGUAAAGGUCAGAGGUCCGACUCCUCUACCGCCCACCA
Molecule: transfer RNA, 77 nt
Filed under: Candidatus Woesebacteria bacterium
Lineage: Bacteria; Candidatus Woeseibacteriota
Description: tRNA-Val
Rfam family: tRNA
About the family: Transfer RNA (tRNA) molecules are approximately 80 nucleotides in length. Their secondary structure includes four short double-helical elements and three loops (D, anti-codon, and T loops). Further hydrogen bonds mediate the characteristic L-shaped molecular structure. tRNAs have two regions of fundamental functional importance: the anti-codon, which is responsible for specific mRNA codon recognition, and the 3' end, to which the tRNAs corresponding amino acid is attached (by aminoacyl-tRNA synthetases). tRNAs cope with the degeneracy of the genetic code in two manners: having more than one tRNA (with a specific anti-codon) for a particular amino acid; and 'wobble' base-pairing, i.e. permitting non-standard base-pairing at the 3rd anti-codon position.
Source: RNAcentral